Molecule: ribosomal RNA, 254 nt
Filed under: uncultured bacterium
Lineage: Bacteria
Description: partial 16S ribosomal RNA
Rfam family: Bacterial small subunit ribosomal RNA
Source: RNAcentral
UACGGAGGGUGCAAGCGUUAUCCGGAAUCACUGGGUUUAAAGGGUGCGCAGGCGGCCCGUUUAGUCAGUUGUGAAAUCCCCCGGCUUAACCGGCGGGACUGCGAUUGAUACUGGCGGGCUUGAAUCGGGUUGAGGCAGGCGGAAUGUGGCAUGUAGCGGUGAAAUGCUUAGAUAUGCCAUAGAACACCGAUUGCGAAGGCAGCUUGCUGGGCCUUGAUUGACGCUGAGGCACGAAAGCGUGGGGAGCAAACAGG